This 4519-nucleotide long non-coding RNA is filed under the name Sus scrofa (pig). Its description in RNAcentral is "lncRNA (ENSSSCG00025044174.1, ENSSSCG00045011100.1, ENSSSCG00055016878.1)". Lineage: Eukaryota; Metazoa; Chordata; Mammalia; Artiodactyla; Suidae. The record is from RNAcentral.
CUUUUCUAGGGCCGCUCUCGCGGCAUAUGGAGGUUCCCAGGCUACGGGUCGAAUCGGAGCUGUAGCCGCCGGCCUACACCAGAGCCACAGCAAUGCAGACUUCAGCACAGCUCACAGCAACGCCGAAUCCUUAACCCACUGAGCAAGGCCAGGGAUCGAACCCGCAACCCCAUGGUUCCCAGUCGGAUUCCUUAACCACUGCGCCACAACGGGAACUCCUCUUUUUCCAUUCACAUUUUAGCACACUGAUUGCUGGGUUUUGGUUUUCGGUUGAUUGUUGCUCCAGUUUAUCAAAUAUGUUUCUUGUGUCUAUUGACAGAUGCAUUUUUUUCUUUCUUGAAGAUGUGAUUAAACUAGAUAUUUUUCAUAAUGUUGAAUUAUCCUUGUAUUUCUGGAAUAAAUAGCCAAUAGUUAACACAUUUUUAGCACUUAUUACAUAUAUUCCAGGAAUGUUAUAUAUAUGAAUUCACUUAAUAAAUCUACCUGAUCAUGACUCAUAGUUAUACUGCCAAAUUUGAAUUGCCAAAUGUAAAUAUAAUCUAAAUAUAGAACUUGUCAAUAUAGAACUUAUAGCUGAAAUUUAUUUAUAUUAUUUAAUUUACUAUUAAUAAUUUUAUGUAAUUUGAAUUGCCCAAUGUAAAUAUAAUAUAUAGAAUUUAUAAUGUAAAUAUAGAACUUAUAUUUAUUGCUGAAAUGUAUCUAUGUUUAUUAUUACAUUAUAUAUUACAUUUAUAUUUACAUAUGUAAAUAUAGCACUUAUAACUGAAAUUGAACAAAACUUAGAGUUUUAUAUCUUUUACUAUUAUUAUUACUUUUUUCCUACUAUUUCAUCACCUCUAUUGACCUGAAAGAUCCUUGAAAAUCAGUGUCUUACUACACAGUCAGUAUCUUGCAAGAGCAUGUGAUUGACGUUUGUUGAAUGAUUAAAAAUGCUUAACAGAUCUAAAGUAAGUCUAUUUUUUGAAAAUCAGCAUUUAUUCUGUAAUACAAACUUUAAUUUCACACACUUAAAAAUAUUUGCAAGAUAUCAAAAUAUGUAAUGGCUAAAUUUACUAUUAAUUAAACUAGAUUUUCUGAGGAUAUGUAUGCAUUUCAGAACUCUGAUAGGCUAAAAAUUGUUGCUUCUCCUAUCUCCUUAAAUGUCUCUUCACAGAGUUUUUAAAUUCUCCAACAUUUAAUUAGCAGCAAUAAUUACUUUUGCGUACUUUAGCGUUACUGCCUUUUGUUUUGUGAGGUAGAUUAUAUCAAAAUUAUUUCUUUUUCCAGAAGAUUAAAGACAAAUUAGUGGAAGAUAUGCAUCAAAGAUUCUUAAUGUAUGAAACCAUUUCCAACAAAAUGCUUUUUAUUUAAGUCAAAAUUGGAUUUCCAUGGUUUGGGGCUUCAGGGCUUCUAAGAGCCUUGCUCCCACAGAUUUAAGACUUGAACUAGACAUCAAAGGUUAUCAUGUGGCUCAUUCAAGGCAAUAGCUGAAGGAUUUGGCAACUGCUUUCUAUGGUUUAGCUUUGCUUGAAUCCUCCCCUUCAAAGCAGCUGUUACUCUGUCCUUGCGAUUAAGGACAAGAUGUUCUAUUUGUAUGUUUGUAUGUUUUUUCAAUUGUAUUUUAAGGAUCUUCUCUGUGCACGGGAAAAUACUGGCAGACAGGUAAGUAAAAUACAUCCUUUGCUACCAAGGAUUGUGCUAUGUAAGGGGGAGACCACAUGCUGACUCAAGUUUUCUAUAGAAAUAAUAUCGUGCGACAGAUUCUUUUUUUCAAUAUCAAAACAGAAGGAAGAAAAAAACCUGUCACAAGGAGAGGAGUACAGGAUGGAAUCGGCACCCUGAGGGCUUUUUCCUCAUUUGUUUUUUUCUGUUGUUUCAAUUCUAGGUUCUGAUAUUUUUGUGGGUUGGGAGGAAUGAUUGGGCAUUUAGGAUCAUGAUCACAAAGGAUUUUUUUUCGGUCAUCCUCUCGCCAUGGUCUAAAGCAGUAAUGUAAACUCUGAUAAUGGAAAUUAUUUCACCACUGUUUUGCACCUUCGCUGCUAUAACCCAAAUUUUCAUAAUAAGGAGUGACUGAUAGAUAUCCUUUUUACUGAAAAACAGUAGUUGUAUAAACCUCAGGCUAAAUUUGUUUGAGAAAAUACUGUAUUUUGCUGGAUUAUGUAGCCUGAAAGUGACCUAAAGUGCAUUUUAUUAUCAGUUUAUUUAUCUUAGCCUAUGUGGUUUCUGUGUGUGUGUGUGAUACUCAUGAUUAAUGGUGUCAAAACCCCACACAAUUUUGAACACUACAAAAAUAAAGAGGCAGUUUGAUGAUUAUCAUCUAAUUUUAGAAGAAAAUCAUGGCACAGAAUUGUCGUUUGCUUAUAUUAAGUAUAGUCUCCAUUACUACCUUGUAUUUUCAUCUUUCACUUUACCUCUGAAUAUAGAUUCUUCUUUUCCUAAGUGUUCCUGAGCUAUGAUUUAAAGAUAAGCAACUAAGAAAUGCACGUAGUUUAUAGGGUGUUAAGUGACAAGCAAGAGGAUCUAUUUCAGGAAAUUAAAAUGGCAACUUGAGGGAUUUUACUUUUCUUUAAAUUAGGUUUAUUAAAUACAAAUUUUCUCAUUUAUAUCAAUUCCGUGAUAUUUCAAAACACUAGAAAGUUGUUAGUUUAAAACUUCACACAAUUGAUUUAAAGAAGAGAUUUGUUUAAAGUUUUUCACCAACUCUCUAGAAUGCCAGUCAUAGUAUAAAGUGCCAGACCCACUAUCAAUUUUGGGGAGGGGGGGCAUGAUCAUAGAAUGCAGAGGAUCCUGGGGCUAAGGAUCGAACCCAUGCUACUACAGUGACAACACUGGCUCCAUAACCCGCUGAGCCACUAGGGAACUCCAAGACUUAUCUAUUUUUAAUAUGGUGUCAGCAGCCCCUGUAUUGUAUGUCUUAAGAACUAUUCAGUUUUCGGUACAUUUCUUGAUUGUUUUUUAAGGUUUUUUGUUUGAUUUUUGUUGUUUCCUUUUUAAAAUGUGGAUGCUAUUUUCAUGGGGGAAAAAUAAUGCACAGACCAAAAGAAGAAAAUUACAUUGAGUCAAUGUUAAUGGAAAUUGACUUCGGUUUUACAAAGGAACACUUUCGAGUUGUGAAGUUUUGAGUUUUGUCUUAGUUUCAUCAAAAUCUCUCAGAUUUUUAUGAACGCAAUUGAAAUCAGGAGAUGAUCCCAAAGGAGAGACUGGGGGGAGCGGUGAAAAUAGACCAUUUCAGUUGCACAGCAACAUCUUUUCUGUUUUGAAAAUAAAUCUUUGCAGGUGUGUUUCCGAUCUAGCUUUCUUGCUCAAGGAAGAAUGUUUAUCAUUUUCUGAAUUUACCAGCAAUUGGUGUGCGCUGAGGGCUCAUUUAUUUCUUACAAAAUGUCGCUAACUCACUCCUGUCCUCUUAAAUUUAAAACAGCUGCUACCCACUGGCAGGAUCUAAAUCUUAACAGAGACAGAAUUCCAGACUCCGUAUGCCUGUAUUACACUCUUGUUAAUAACCAUCUCUGUCUGUCAAGGUGACAGCGGGACAAUGUGGGUCCUACACUCACAUUUUCUCUGUCCCUGUGUAAAAAGCUAAAGCUUUUAUUUUGUUAAUAAAGACCUAUGAUUUAAUUUAAAAAAACUCUUCUGAUUAUUGAAGCACUAUAAUUUGGUUUUGCUUGAAGCACUCUAACUUCCAAUAUUGUUUCCUUUCUCUGCAGUUAUAUUUUUAAUAUUAUCUGGGAGUUAGGGUAGCUUAUUUACUGAGAGAAAGUAGCAGAGGGAUCCAAACUCAAUGUUAAAAGGCAAGGCAAAUUUGAGGAAAGAAACAUAGUCUUUAAAUUUUCAAUUGUUUAGGAUUUUAUUUCCAGAUUCCAUUUUCAUAAUGUAGAAUUUACAAUCUCAACAUUUAUUUGGAAACAAGACAACAAUUUCAACUUUUUCAUGACCGCCUCACUGUUGAAAAUAAGAGUUUUGACAUAAGCUUCACCUGGAUUCUCAGUCAAGGAUACUCUUUUCAUUUUUACCUUCUUUUGACCCGGUUGCCUUGCCCAAAAGCUAUCAUUUUGUUUUCCUUUCUCUUUGGUUUUCUUGCAGAACAACUGUUCAGUUUCUAUAAAGAUAAAUUCAUCUGUCUUGAAAAAUGCUAAAGAUUAUUUUCAUGCAGAAGAUAAAUCACUGGAAGAGACAGUAAAGAAUUCAAAAGGUACUUCACGUUCUACCAGAGCGAAAUCCAAAUCUUUCUCCUCCGCAGUGAAUUCAUGGUUUCCUGGAAGAUAAGAUCUCAUCCUGUUAAGGACUUCGUCUUAGAAAAGAAGAGAACAUAAUCUCUCAGGGGAACUGCAGGAUCAUAAUUCCUAAAAUCAAAUAUAUCAAUAAACACAGCUCUUACUUUAAAAUAGUCAACCAAGUCUCCAGAACUUAGAGUGUAAAAAGUUGAUGUCAAAUUGUAAUAUCCUAUAAUAACAUCAGUCUGUAAAAGAGAACAAAUGAUUGUUUAAUUAGUUUAAAGUUUUAUUCUCAUAAAUAAAAUCCAAAUGCUUGGUCAUCAUUCAUA